GAUGAACGCUGGCGGCGUGCCUAAUACAUGCAAGUCGAGCGAACAGAUGAGGAGCUUGCUCCUCUGACGUUAGCGGCGGACGGGUGAGUAACACGUGGAUAACCUACCUAUAAGACUGGGAUAACUUCGGGAAACCGGAGCUAAUAUCGGAUAAUAUAUUGAACCGCAUGGUUCAAUAGUGAAAGACGGUUUUGCUGUCACUUAUAGAUGGAUCCGCGGCGCAUUAGCUAGUUGGUAAGGUAACGGCUUACCAAGGCAACGAUGCGUAGCUGACCUGAGAGGAUGAUCAGCCACACUGGAACUGAGACACGGUCCAGACUCCUACGGGAGGCAGCAGUAGGGAAUCUUCCGCAAUGGGCGAAAGCCUGACGGAGCAACGCCGCGUGAGUGAUGAAGGUCUUCGGAUCGUAAAACUCUGUUAUUAGGGAAGAACAAAUGUGUAAGUAAAUAUGCACGUCUUGACGGUACCUAAUCAAAAAGCCACGGCUAACUACGUG
This 497-nucleotide ribosomal RNA is filed under the name uncultured bacterium. RNAcentral describes it as "partial 16S ribosomal RNA". It matches the Rfam family "Bacterial small subunit ribosomal RNA", at positions 28 to 507 of the family's 1533-position model. The record is from RNAcentral.